GAUGAAGAACGCAGCGAAAUGCGAUAAGUAAUGUGAAUUGCAGAAUUCAGUGAAUCAUCGAAUCUUUGAACGCACAUUGCGCCCGCCAGUAUUCAGGCGGGCAUGCCUGUUCGAGCGUCAUUUCAACCCUCAAGACCCCUUCGGGGGACUUGGUGUUGGGGACCGGCACAGGGGCCUGCCUGCUUGUCUUGCAGCGCCCUCGCCGCCCCCGAAAUGAAUUGGCGGCCUCGUCGCGGCCUCCCCUGCGUAGUAGCACAACCUCGCAACGGGAACGUGACGGCGGCCACUGCCGUAAAACAACCCAAUUUUAUUAGAGUUGACCUCGAAUCAGGUAGGAAUACCCGCUGAACUUAAGCAUAUCAAUAAGCGGAGGA
RNAcentral lists this unclassified non-coding RNA (374 nucleotides) under soil metagenome. RNAcentral describes it as "partial contains 5.8S ribosomal RNA, internal transcribed spacer 2, and large subunit ribosomal RNA". The stretch from base 1 to 120 matches the Rfam family "5.8S ribosomal RNA", at positions 35 to 154 of the family's 154-position model. The record is from RNAcentral.